Molecule: transfer RNA, 88 nt
Filed under: Chloroflexaceae bacterium
Lineage: Bacteria; Bacillati; Chloroflexota; Chloroflexia; Chloroflexales; Chloroflexaceae
Description: tRNA-Ser
Rfam family: tRNA
About the family: Transfer RNA (tRNA) molecules are approximately 80 nucleotides in length.
Source: RNAcentral
GGAGAGGUGGCCGAGUGGUCGAAAGGCGCAGCACUGGAAAUGCUGUAACGGGGUAACUCGUUCGAGGGUUCGAAUCCCUCCCUCUCCG